Molecule: long non-coding RNA, 610 nt
Organism: Alnus glutinosa
Lineage: Eukaryota; Viridiplantae; Streptophyta; Magnoliopsida; Fagales; Betulaceae
Exons: 4
Source: RefSeq, a predicted model, not a curated record
GUGCAAUGCAAAUGUGGCCUUCCAGCCCUGUUGAGAACUUCCUAGACAUCAGCCAAUCCUGAGAGGCGGUUCGUUGUGUGUGCUAUGUAUGACCAAAAAAGGUUCACAUAAAUUUUUUAGUCUCCAAUAUCGGCUAUAUCAUCUCCAUUGCCUUUGUUACCUAUCAAGGGUCUGAAUCUUAUGCAACAAGCAACUUAAUUCCAAUCACAUUGCCGAUCGAAUUAACAGGUGUUCCCCGACCAAAUCAGCAAUUUUGGCUUCUCCGCUAUGCAUCCAUCCAUCUACCUUCGGGUUGUGCCGUUUAUCUCCUCCCUAAUUGCUUCUAAUGUUUGCUGGUUGUGUUUUUGUUUUGAAUAAGAGCUUUCUUCUCUUUAGAUCUGCCUUCAUAGGCGAUUUAUGGGAUGAAGGUUCGUCAGGUGUGAUGGGUUAUCUCUCACAGCCGGUUUAAAUAAAUUUUAGGAUAUUUGGCUACCAUUGUCUUAGAUCCAGUCUGCUCAAAGCAGAUUUGCUCUUUAACUAUUUUUAUACAUGGGUUAGCGGAAGAUGAAAGUCAUAGAUAUCACUUUAUUAUAAGAAUUUUGUUUGUAUCUAUGACUAUAUAACUUCAUAA